RNAcentral lists this ribosomal RNA (468 nucleotides) under uncultured bacterium. RNAcentral describes it as "partial 16S ribosomal RNA". It matches the Rfam family "Bacterial small subunit ribosomal RNA", at positions 28 to 507 of the family's 1533-position model. The record is from RNAcentral.
GAUGAACGCUGGCGGCGUGCCUAAUACAUGCAAGUCGAACGGAAAGGCCCUGCUUUUGUUUGGCUCUCGUUUGGCGAACGGGUGAGUAUCACGUGUGUAUCCUGUCCUUGACUUUCGGAGAACAUCUGGAAAAUGCGGCUAAUAUCGGAUAUGAUCUUCUGCAGCACGUUGGUGGUUGGUAAGAUUCGGUGGUUGUGGAUGGACUCGCGGGUUAUGCGCUUCUUGGUGUGGUAGUGGCUUACCAAGGUUUUGACGGGUAGCCGGCCUGAGAGGGUGACCGGCCACAUUGGGACUAAGAGAGGGCCCAGACUCCUACGGGAGGCAGCAGUGGGGAAUAUUGCACAAUGGCCGGGAGCCUGAGACAGAAACGCCGCGUGCGGGAUGACGGCCUUCGGGUUGUAAACCGCUUUCGACUGAGACGAAGCGUGAGUGACGGUAAUGGGUAAAGAAGCACCGGCUAACUACGUG